UCUCAGGCCUCCAUCCUCCCUCUCGUA
Molecule: non-coding RNA, 27 nt
Filed under: Mus musculus (house mouse)
Lineage: Eukaryota; Metazoa; Chordata; Mammalia; Rodentia; Muridae
Source: RNAcentral